Telopea speciosissima is the source of this 321-nucleotide long non-coding RNA. RefSeq lists it as uncharacterized. The transcript is spliced from 4 exons. The record is from RefSeq and is a predicted model, not a curated record. Lineage: Eukaryota; Viridiplantae; Streptophyta; Magnoliopsida; Proteales; Proteaceae.
ACUUUAGAGGAAUUGCAAGAUAAGAAUGACCCUAAUUUUAUUGAAGAUACUAUUAAUAUUUUCUUCAAAGAUUCUUCCCAAGUGAUCAUUAACAUUGAGAAAGGACUGAAUGAGAAUCCCAUUGAUUUCAAUAAGCUGUACAGGUACAUGCUUAAAAUUAAGGGCAGCAGUUCAAGCAUUGGAGCUAAAAAGGUGAAAGACUCGACCUUAGAUUUUCAACAUUACUGUGAUGCUCGAAAUGUAGAAGGAUGCAAGAGGGUUGUGGAAAUUUUGAAGAUAGAACAUGCAGUUCUGAAAGAGAAGCUUCAAUCUUACUUUCAG